GAUAAACGCUGGCGGCGUGCCUAACACAUGCAAGUCGAACGCGCUUUCUCGCAUGCUUCGUUAAGAAGCGAGCAAGAGAGCGAGUGGCGGACGGGUGAGUAACACAUGGGUCACCUACCUUUCAGUGAGGAAUACCGACGAGAAAUCGUCGACAAGACCGCAUAUGCUCUUUGCAAAGAGAGCAAAGUCCUUUCGCAAGAAGGGACGCUGGAAGAUGGGCCNGUGGCCGAUUAGCUAGUUGGUAGGGUAAUGGCCUACCAAGGCGACGAUCGGUAGCUGGUCUGAGAGGACGAUCAGCCACACUGGGAUUGAGAACGGCCCAGACU
This 326-nucleotide ribosomal RNA is filed under the name uncultured bacterium. RNAcentral describes it as "bacterial SSU rRNA". It matches the Rfam family "Bacterial small subunit ribosomal RNA", at positions 28 to 337 of the family's 1533-position model. The record is from RNAcentral.